UGGGGAAUCUUAGACAAUGGGCGCAAGCCUGAUCUAGCCAUGCCGCGUGAGCGAUGAAGGCCUUAGGGUUGUAAAGCUCUUUCAGGGGGGAAGAUAAUGACUGUACCCCCAGAAGAAGCCCCGGCUAACUCCGUGCCAGCAGCCGCGGUAAUACGGAGGGGGCUAGCGUUGUUCGGAAUUACUGGGCGUAAAGCGCACGUAGGCGGACUGGAAAGUUGGGGGUGAAAUCCCGGGGCUCAACCCCGGAACUGCCUUCAAAACUUCCGGUCUUGAGGUCGAGAGAGGUGAGUGGAAUUCCGGGUGUAGAGGUGAAAUUCGUAGAUAUUCGGAGGAACACCAGUGGCGAAGGCGGCUCACUGGCUCGAUACUGACGCUGAGGUGCGAAAGCGUGGGGAGCAAACA
RNAcentral lists this ribosomal RNA (402 nucleotides) under uncultured prokaryote. RNAcentral's name for it is "bacterial SSU rRNA". It matches the Rfam family "Bacterial small subunit ribosomal RNA", at positions 355 to 774 of the family's 1533-position model. The record is from RNAcentral.